ACAGAGCUCCAGUUGUGUCUUGUAAGAAUUGGUCAUUGUUUCAUGGGGACGACUGGCUCCUUUGGGUGGGAUCUGAUGGCAUCUCAUGGAGUUGAGGUCUGCUGCAGUAAUGAAUACAUAUAGAAAUAUAUAUAACUGUCGAGGCAGAGCCCUUCAUAACAGAGCUCAGUAAAGGUGUGUACCUGGCCCAGGAGUUGGAGAAGCUUCAGGAGGAUCCAUCCAGGGGAAGGUGGAACAGUUGCAGGCCCAGCUGCUGUCUCAUGCAAGAGGUGAUCCAGCAGCGAAGAGACAUAUAUAAGGAUAUGGUAGUACUAACAGGAAACCUAGAACUUUAGCUUUCAAGACAUGCUCCUGAUUCUCUUUGUGUAGAAGCAGCCUAGAUUGAAUCACUGCCUUCUUUGCCUGUUGAUUCAAUGGCAUGAGUCAAAGCGGUCAGGUGGCACUCCAGAUCAACCGAGUCAUCAUAUGUCCCCUGACAGAAGAACUCCUCCUUUUGGAACUAAGACCUCUUUACCACCCGAGCCUGAUGUCACAGGGACUGGAAGCAAUCGUUUGUUAGUGAACUGCUAGGGAUAAUAGUGAGAAGAUCCUGUCCUAUUUCCACCCCUUGAUCCCCGUACGCAUGAGUUCUGGCUAAGGAAGAAACAGAAAUAUAUGUUGGAUGCUGAUCUAGAGCAUACUUUGCAUCCUAAAAGACCAUACAUGAGUCUCCAAAAGGACAUUCCACCAUUCUAUCAAGCCAGCUGCUUCAGGGUGACGGGGAACACGAGAAGACUGAUGUCAACUUUUGUCUCGUAAUACACGAAUCUAUGAGUUUCUCUCAGAAAAUGGUUGUCUGCCAACGCUAACUGGCCAGCUCUGACAGGAGGUGCGUGGCCCAGGAGGAGCCAUCAGGCCAGUUCUCUGGGAUACUGCUGUGUCUCCAGCUCUGCAGUUUGCUCUUCGUCACUCAGCGGCAGACGGAGAGGCAGACACGAGCCCCUUGUGAGCCCUCCUCCUUACCGUCAUCUCACAAUGCUCUGAAAUAAGGAGGCAAAUGGCUGAGGUCCCCUCAGUUGUAGAUGUGAUUGAGUUCUAUCUACCAGAAGCAUAUGCCUCCUGGAAGCCUGGUUCUAACACCUCCCACAAAAUCCUUCAAGCACUUUUUUCUGUUCCAAGGUUUGCUUAUGGGGGACCCAGUGAAGUGCUUCAGAGCCCUAGAGAUUUGCUGAGUCAUAUGAGGGGUCAGCAAACUUUUCCUGUAAAGGGUCAGAUAAUAAACAUUUUAAGCUUUGUAGACUGUAUAAA
This is a long non-coding RNA of Homo sapiens (human), 1287 nucleotides long. Ensembl annotates it as long intergenic non-protein coding RNA 3002. Lineage: Eukaryota; Metazoa; Chordata; Mammalia; Primates; Hominidae. The record is from Ensembl.